Non-coding RNA from Glycine soja, 115 nucleotides. NCBI's taxonomy places the organism in Eukaryota, Viridiplantae, Streptophyta, Magnoliopsida, Fabales, Fabaceae. The record is from Rfam.
CUGUUCCCAAGAGUUCCCCUAACCACUUCAAUAUUAUGGAUUUUCACUUUUGUCAGAAUCUCUAGCUAUUCCUAUUCCUCCCCAUUGAAGUGUUUGGAGGAACUCCAGGAAUCAC